GUGGAAUAUAGUGAAUAUGCAUGGAAUCUGUUCUAUGAUAGUUCCCUAAGCAGCAUAACCUACUACCUUAGAUAUUAGCUACACAGGCUGAAAUUUGUGGAGAGCUUUUGGGACCCGGAGCACUGGCUCCGGGAGAGGGGCCAUGAUGGGAUGCAGCUGGUAAGGAGAUAGGGCCCUGCUCAUUAAACCAGGCAAGGUCGUGCUGCCCUCAGGAGCAAGGAAGUGAUAAGAACAUGCUGCAAUUAAGAAAAUUGAGUGGUAUGCGGUAAACAAUCGGGCAUUCAUCACGGGACUGUCACGGUAUCUAGCGUUGAUGGUUACUUUCUCACGUAAAGAACUAACCAAUAAGAGAACCCAAUUUGGCAUAUGUAGUAGCUCAUUAACUAUCGUAUAAAUGCCUGCGUGUGCUUCAAUAAAGCUGAGACUUGUUGAUCAUGAAAGCAUGAGACUUGUCUCCCGCUGAUUUCCUACAAAUGGUGACCCCGACGUGAUCCAGUAACGGCGCACCACGGUGGGACGGCGAAGGAGUUCGGGUCCUAAAGCAGCGAGGACGGCUAAAGCACUCGGGAACCAGAGAGAGGAGUGCCGAGCCCUAGGUGACCUCAUCGGAGAGCCUGGCUGAUACGGGCCGCCGAGACCUUGAUCUGGCCCAUUAUGGGUUCCCAGUAAAUGGACUAAGCCAGCCCCGAACGUCAAGAACCCAUCUCAACCCGAUGACAACAACAGCGACUCCGGCGAGCGAUAGCCGCAUGGUGUGCAAGACAUCAUAUACAGUGCCGUGACUCCUGAGCUGCGACUGGUAUUCCCUUAGCAGAUUGCAGAAAACAUCUCAUCAGAAAGGUCUCUUGGACACUGGGAACUGCCAGGAGCAAUUGGCGGUUAUGAGACUCAGAAGCGCACUAAUUGUGGGGGUCAGGUACAGUGGUUGAUCCAGAGUGGGGACUGUGGUAUUUUAUUCAUCGGGAUAUUGAAACUGUAGUUAAUACUGGUGUGCUGUGUAGUCUUUACUGUUAGUUUACUGACAAGGAAUGCUUUGUAGAAGUGUGUAACAUAAAUCUAGUGUAUUCUUAUAGAUAGUGAUUGGUAUGCUGAUAAUCAUGCUUUGUUUACUGUAAUGCUAGCAAAAGGUGGCUCAAGAUGCGAUUCAUACAACCUGGCUCAUACAAAAAGAAAACGGGGGAAGUGUGGAGAGCUUUUGGCACCCGGAGCACUGGCUCCGGGAGAGGGGCCAUGAUGGGAUGCAGCUGGUAAGGAGAUAGGGCCCUGCUCAUUAAACCAGGCAAGGUCGUGCUGCCCUCAGGAGCAAGGAAGUGAUAAGAACAUGCUGCAAUUAAGAAAAUUGAGUGGUAUGCGGUAAACAAUCGGGCAUUCAUCACGGGACUGUCACGGUAUCUAGCGUUGAUGGUUACUUUCUCACGUAAAGAACUAACCAAUAAGAGAACCCAAUUUGGCAUAUGUAGUAGCUCAUUAACUAUCGUAUAAAUGCCUGCGUGUGCUUCAAUAAAGCUGAG
This 1511-nucleotide long non-coding RNA is filed under the name Gallus gallus (chicken). RNAcentral's name for it is "lncRNA (ENSGALG00010005923.1)". The record is from RNAcentral. Lineage: Eukaryota; Metazoa; Chordata; Aves; Galliformes; Phasianidae.